AUAAACUCUAGACCGAAAUUGUAA
Molecule: non-coding RNA, 24 nt
Filed under: Gossypium hirsutum (cotton)
Lineage: Eukaryota; Viridiplantae; Streptophyta; Magnoliopsida; Malvales; Malvaceae
Source: RNAcentral